RNAcentral lists this ribosomal RNA (492 nucleotides) under uncultured bacterium. RNAcentral's name for it is "partial 16S ribosomal RNA". It matches the Rfam family "Bacterial small subunit ribosomal RNA", at positions 29 to 507 of the family's 1533-position model. The record is from RNAcentral.
AGUGAACGCUGGCGGUAGGCCUAACACAUGCAAGUCGAACGGCAGAACAGUAAUUGCUUGUUCUUACGGGUGCCGAGUGGUGGAUGGGUGCGGAAAAUAUGCGAAGUUACGUUUUCGUAGGGGCUAACACGGGGAAUAUUACCCCAUACCUCCUUAGGACGAAAGGGGGGAAGCUGGGGACCUCAGGCCAUUGGGGGAGUCAAUGGCCGGAUGUCGGAUUAGCUAGUUGGCGGGGUAAAGGCCCACCAAGGCGACGAUCCGUAGCUGGUCUGAGAGGAUGAUCAGCCACACUGGAACUGAGACACGGUCCAGACUCCUACGGGAGGCAGCAGUGGGGAAUAUUGGACAAUGGGCGCAAGCCUGAUCCAGCCAUACCGCGUGGGUGAAGAAGGCCUUCGGGUUGUAAAGCCCUUUUGUUGGGAAAGAAAAGCAGCAGGUUAAUACCCCGCUGUUCUGACGUUACCCAAAGAAUAAGCACCGGCUAACUUCGUG